UGACAGCUGUGUGACCUUGAGACUGUCCUUACCUCCUGUCUCCUUACUUGUUACACGGAAGUGAUAGUUUCCACCCAGCAUUGUCAUAGCUACAGUAGAAUGUCAUGUGACAGCUAGCACAGUGCUUGUCAUGGAGGUUGUCCAGUACAUGUCAGCCUUCUGUUUUCUGUGCUUGUGGUGGGAGGGAUACCUUCUCCUGUUGCCUUUUCCACUGUAAGCAUUCUCUUGUGCAUCUUCUGUUCCAGGCCAUUCCCCAGUAUGCUAUUCCCUGUCACUCCAGCUCCAACGUGGUGGUGGAGCCCAGCGGGCUUCUUGAAUUGAACAACUUCACCAGUCAGCAGCUAGACGACGAUGAGACAGCUAUGGAGCAAGAUGUAGACAGCAGCACGGAGGAUGGGACUGAGCCCAGCCCCUCUCAGAGCGCUGUAGAGCGGUCCUAGUGUGCAGAUGCCACCAGAGUGCACUUUAGAGCCUGCUUGGUUACCUACCACGUGUCCAGGGAAACUUACAAUUUGUUAUGGUAAAAGAAAAAAGCACUUUGCUCAUACUUAGGCUGGGGACCUAGAAACAGUGUUUCACUGAGAUGUUGCUGCAGGAGCAGCAUUUUAACAGGAUUAAACUCACAGAGGAAUGUACUUUAAAAAAAAAAAAUAGAAGAAAAAAAAAAGCAAAGGAAGAGAUGCACCCCGUGGAGGCCUGGUCUCUUGUUGGUGCUGGGCAGUGGACAGUUUGUCUGCACUGAAGAGACUUCCUGCGAGUGGCUCUCGGCUGCUUUCCACUGAGCAAAUGCCACCAGAGAACAUUAAGAGGAAAAGAAAGGAGACUGUGAAGAGUUUGUAUUUUUGAAAUGAUGUAUCUGAACAGUUUUUUAAAAAUCGUGUUUUGUUUUUGCAAAUCCCUGGAAAUGUUGAUUUGGCUAACAUUU
Molecule: long non-coding RNA, 925 nt
Filed under: Rattus norvegicus (Norway rat)
Lineage: Eukaryota; Metazoa; Chordata; Mammalia; Rodentia; Muridae
Description: long non-coding RNA NONRATT002950
Source: RNAcentral